AACGAACGCUGGCGGCAUGCCUAACACAUGCAAGUCGAACGAGAUCUUCGGGUCUAGUGGCGCACGGGUGCGUAACGCGUGGGAAUCUGCCGUUUGGUUCGGAAUAACAGUUGGAAACGACUGCUAAUACCGGAUGAUGACGAAAGUCCAAAGAUUUAUCGCCAGAGGAUGAGCCCGCGUAGGAUUAGCUAGUUGGUGUGGUAAAGGCGCACCAAGGCGACGAUCCUUAGCUGGUCUGAGAGGAUGAUCAGCCACACUGGGACUGAGACACGGCCCAGACUCCUACGGGAGGCAGCAGUGGGGAAUAUUGGACAAUGGGCGAAAGCCUGAUCCAGCAAUGCCGCGUGAGUGAUGAAGGCCUUAGGGUUGUAAUGCUCUUUUACCCGGGAUGAUAAUGACAGUACCGGGAGAAUAAGCUCCGGCUAACUCCGUGCCAGCCGCCGCAGUAA
This 449-nucleotide ribosomal RNA is filed under the name uncultured bacterium. RNAcentral describes it as "partial 16S ribosomal RNA". It matches the Rfam family "Bacterial small subunit ribosomal RNA", at positions 29 to 523 of the family's 1533-position model. The record is from RNAcentral.